This 369-nucleotide ribosomal RNA is filed under the name uncultured organism. RNAcentral's name for it is "bacterial SSU rRNA". It matches the Rfam family "Bacterial small subunit ribosomal RNA", at positions 526 to 896 of the family's 1533-position model. The record is from RNAcentral.
CGUAGGGUGCGAGCGUUAAUCGGAAUUACUGGGCGUAAAGCGUGCGCAGGCGGUUUGUUAAGAUAGGCGUGAAAUCCCCGGGCUCAACCUGGGAACUGCGCUUAUGACUGGCAAGCUAGAGUACGGCAGAGGGGGUGGAAUUCCACGUGUAGCAGUGAAGUGCGUAGAGAUGUGGAGGAACACCAAUGGCGAAGGCAGCCCCCUGGGUCGAUACUGACGCUCAUGCACGAAAGCGUGGGGAGCAAACAGGAUUAGAUACCCUGGUAGUCCACGCCCUAAACGAUGUCAACUGGUUGUUGGGUCUUUACUGACUCAGUAACGAAGCUAACGCGUGAAGUUGACCGCCUGGGGAGUACGGCUGCAAGGUUG